CGGCGGACGGGUGAGUAAUGCCUAGGAAUCUGCCUGGUAGUGGGGGAUAACGUCCGGAAACGGGCGCUAAUACCGCAUACGUCCUGAGGGAGAAAAGUGGGGGGUCUUCGGACCUCACGCUAUCAGAUGAGCCUAGGUCGGAUUAGCUAGUUGGUGGGGUAAAGGCCUACCAAGGCGACGAUCCGUAACUGGUCUGAGAGGAUGAUCAGUCACACUGGAACUGAGACACGGUCCAG
RNAcentral lists this ribosomal RNA (236 nucleotides) under uncultured bacterium. RNAcentral describes it as "partial 16S ribosomal RNA". It matches the Rfam family "Bacterial small subunit ribosomal RNA", at positions 96 to 334 of the family's 1533-position model. The record is from RNAcentral.